Molecule: long non-coding RNA, 1950 nt
Filed under: Sinocyclocheilus anshuiensis
Lineage: Eukaryota; Metazoa; Chordata; Actinopteri; Cypriniformes; Cyprinidae
Description: lncRNA (ENSSANG00000052225.1)
Source: RNAcentral
AUGUCUCUAGUUCAGGCACUGCCUGUGCCCACUGAUCACCCGAAGCCCACUGCGGCAGGCACCAUGGGCUCCGUCAGCAGCCUUAUCUCUGGACGUACCUACCAGGAGCGUCACUGCCGAGCUGCCAGCGACUUUGGCGCCAAGUAUCGCAAACCCACACCAACUACGAGCUGUUUCCGACAGCAAGAGGGCACGCUGCGCAGUGCCAGCUCACAGGAGCAGCUUCUCACCAGACAGCCUCCUCUACCUGCUAAGAACAAGUCCUCUGCCCUCAUCUCUGCUGGCAAUGGCAACUAUGGCUAUUUGAGUGAUGAGCCAGUGGGCGACUGGAAUGAUAAUCAUGUUACCCCGUGCAGCCCGUCCAGUGAUACCGAAGAGCCUCCUGAUAACAGAGGCAUGAAUGGUAACAUUGGUGGCCCUCCUCCCAAACUCAUCCCAGUGUCAGGGAAGCUGGAAAAGAGUAUGGAGAAGACACUGAUCCGUCCCACUGCCUUUAAGCCGGUUGUGCCCAAGAAUCGCAACUCUGUGCAGUACCUGUCUCCACGGUCAGGGGGCAGUCUGACUGAAAGCCAGGGCAGCCUCAACCUCUUACUUCCUGGCACUGGAGCAUUGUUGGGUUGUCAGGAGAAGCGUAACUCUUACAGUGGGGGGCGCAACGCACGGAAUAGCCAAUCCUGCACUAUGUCGGACUCAGGCCGCAACUCACUCUCCAGUCUACCAACCUACAGCAGCACAGGGUACAGCCUGGCACAGAGCGAGGUUCCCACCGGGCACAUGGAAACCACACGCUCCAGUGGUGGCCACGGACACUCUAACUCUGACAGUGGUCGGUCAUCAUCCAGUAAGAGCACAGGGUCUUUAAGUGGCCGUGGGCAGCCCCUCUCAGACAGUGGAUCGUGUGGCCGCUCCCCGGCUCCAGGAGAAGGGUAUGAGGGCGUCAUUCGGGAACUUGAGGAGAAGCUGAGGGAAAGAGACCUCCAUCUGUCAGGUGACAAUCUAAAAUCAUAUGUCUUUUCCAUGCAGGUGUAUGAGGAGAAACAGAAGCGGUGUGAGCAAGAGUUGGAGGACCUUCGGCAGAGCUGUGCAUCGAAAAUGAAGCAGGUGCAGCUGAAGGCACAACGGGCACAACAGGUCCUGCAGUUGCAGGUGUUCCAGCUGCAGCAAGAGAAGAAGAAAUUGCAGGAGGACUUCUCCCAACUGCUGCAGGAACGGGAGGCAUUGGAGAAGAGAUGUGCCUCUUUUGAGAAGGAGCAGACUCAACUAGGUCCUCGUCUAGAAGAGACAAAGUGGGAGGUCUGUCAGAAGUCUGGUGAGAUCUCUCUGCUGAAGCAGCAGCUGAAGGAUGUACAGGCUGAUCUUGGUCAGAAGGCCAGCGAGAUUGUUGCUUUGAAGGCCCAGUUGAGAGAGGCUCGUUCCGAGCUUCAAGCUAGCCAGGCUCGCUCGCAGGAAGCCCACGCCACAGCCCGCACCCGUACACUCGAACUUGAGGUUUGCGAGAAUGAGCUGCAGCGUCGUAAAAGCGAAGCGGAGCUCCUGCGGGAGAAGGUGGGCCGUUUGGAAGAGUCCAUCCGUCUUAAAGAGACCCUGGCACAGUUUCUAGCAUAUGAAAGCGAUGAAGCGAAGGUGCAGCGUCAGAGCGUGGAUGUGCUUCAUGGUCUCCGUCAGCAGGUGGACCGAAUGCGGGCUGAGCUGAUGUAUGAGAGGAGGCGGAGUGAGGACCAGCUGGAGGCCUUUGAGGAUGAACGCAGGGUAUGGCAGGAGGAGAAAGACAAGGUGAUUCGUUACCAGAAGCAGCUGCAGCAGAACUACAUCCAGAUGUACCGCAGAAACCGAGACCUAGAACGUGUGAUGAGAGAACUUAGUCUUGAGCUGGAGAACAGGGACAUGGAGGAGUUUGACAUGCGUAGCAAUGAGAUCCAUUUUGAGGAGAUCACUGCCACUGAAAUCUAA